UACGGAGGGUGCAAACGUUGCUCGGAAUCAUUGGGCGUAAAGCGCGCGUAGGCGGCUUGAUAAGUCGGAUGUGAAAUCCCUCGGCUUAACCGGGGAAGUGCAUUCGAAACUGUCAGGCUUGAGUAUGGGAGAGGAUUGCGGAAUUCCCGGUGUAGAGGUGAAAUUCGUAGAUAUCGGGAGGAACACCAGAGGCGAAGGCGGCAAUCUGGACCAAUACUGACGCUGAGGUGCGAAAGCGUGGGGAGCAAACAGG
RNAcentral lists this unclassified non-coding RNA (253 nucleotides) under uncultured Kofleriaceae bacterium. RNAcentral describes it as "contains 16S-23S intergenic spacer region". It matches the Rfam family "Bacterial small subunit ribosomal RNA", at positions 524 to 776 of the family's 1533-position model. Lineage: Bacteria; Pseudomonadati; Myxococcota; Haliangiales; Kofleriaceae. The record is from RNAcentral.